RNAcentral lists this ribosomal RNA (441 nucleotides) under uncultured bacterium. Its description in RNAcentral is "bacterial SSU rRNA". It matches the Rfam family "Bacterial small subunit ribosomal RNA", at positions 958 to 1397 of the family's 1533-position model. The record is from RNAcentral.
AACGCGAAGAACCUUACCUAGGCUUGACAUGCAUGGGAAAGCCUCGAGAAACCGAGGCCCCUCUUCGGAGUCCAUGCACAGGUGCUGCAUGGCUGUCGUCAGCUCGUGUCGUGAGAUGUUGGGUUAAGUCCCGCAACGAGCGCAACCCCCGUUUCUAGUUGCCAGCGCGUCAUGGCGGGGACUCGUAGGAGACUGCCGGGGUCAACUCGGAGGAAGGUGGGGUCGAAGUCAAGUCAUCAUGCCCCUUACGUCCAGGGCUGCACACAUGCUACAAUGGCCGGUACAACGGGCUGCUAUUCCGCGAGGAGGAGCCAAUCCCUAAAGCCGGUCUCAGUUCGGAUUGGAGUCUGCAACUCGACUCCAUGAAGUCGGAGUCGCUAGUAAUCCCGGAUCAGCAACGCCGGGGUGAAUACGUUCCCGGGCCUUGUACACACCGAUAGC